UAUCAUUUAACUUUUCUGACAAACAGAUUGCAAACAUAUUGGGUGUAUCAAGAAGCACAGUGAAGCGACGGUUAAGACAGUACAAUCUAUCAUUUCGGGGUUGUUACACAACUCUAUCAGAUGAAGCACUUGACAGCAGUGUGCUGGAGAUUGUCUCUGCCAAUGACGAAAUAGGACCUGAAGCUGUUAGGGCUCGGCUUGCUGGUGAAGGCAUCCUAGUCCAGAGACGACGUGUGCGGCAAAGUGUAAUCAGGACUAAUCCUGAAGGUGCUGCUCUUCGGACAAUGUCCCACAGGCUUCACAGAAGAACAUACAAAGUGGCAGGACCAAAUUCACUGUGGCAUGUAGAUGGAAAUCAUAAACUCAUUAGGUGGAGAAUUGUGAUCCAUGGAGGUGUUGAUGGGUACAGCAGACUUGUGGUUUUCCUACAAGCUUCAAACAACAAUAGAAGUGAUACUGUUAUGGACCUGUUUAUUGGAGCAGUCAGCCAGUAUGGUGUCCCUUCAAGGGUCAGAUGUGACCAUGGAGGGGAAAACAAUGGAAUGUGUCUCUUCAUGGAUAUCUUCCGAGGCUCAAGCAGGGGAAGUGCUUUACGAGGGAGGAGCACUCAUAACCAGCGCAUUGAGAGACUAUGGAGUGAUGUGUGGAGAGGUGUUACAAACGUCUAUUAUUCAUUGUUUGCAUGGCU
This is a long non-coding RNA of Astyanax mexicanus (Mexican tetra), 688 nucleotides long. RefSeq lists it as uncharacterized. NCBI's taxonomy places the organism in Eukaryota, Metazoa, Chordata, Actinopteri, Characiformes, Acestrorhamphidae. The record is from RefSeq and is a predicted model, not a curated record. The transcript has 3 exons.